CCAUAGUUUUCAUCAGUUUUCCAAAUGGCUUUCUAAGUGCCAAUCCUGACCUAGAGUUAUAGUCAAGCUACCUCUACCACCAUUUAUCAGAUACUUUGAAGGAUUUGUCUCUACUUCCAAGUAGAUAUGGUUCAGAUAUUCCUCAAAACACCUCUCUCUUCCAAGCCAAAUGAGCAGGUUGAACUAACCCUUUAGCUAUGAAAAGGAUUACUUCUAACCAAAAGAAUACUGGGCAUCAAGCUGUCUGGGUACUCAAGAAAGUCAAUCCACCAGAUUUUCUAUGGAAAAGUACCAAGCGCUACAGAGAGCUGGAGUGGGAGGAGGAGCAGGAGGAGGGGGAAAUAUUAAAAUGUAGAAACACAGAAAAAAUGAUUGCUGAUCUCUAUGCAUACUAGACAAGGUUACUUCCAGAAGGGACUAAAGAGCGCUCAGGGGAAAUAGAACACAUUAAUAAAGACAAUCUUUAAAAGGACGUGUUCCCCAACCUUUCAGCAAUAACACUGCCUGAACAUGAAAACAGCUGAGGAGCAGAGGCUCCAGGAGAAGUUUUCCAGUGACUGAUGGAACGUAACCCUGAAUGUCUACCUUGGCAAUUCUUGAGAUUGGGGUUCUUCAGGCUUCAUCCUGGCUUAUUUCCCUGCUGGGAAUCAAAGAUUGUUCCUUAUGCCUAUGUGGAAACAUAAAAAUUGUGGCAUAUACCUUUGCAAAUACAAGAGAAAUAUUUUUAACAAAAACAAGGUAAGCUUUUUUUUUUUUUGAGACAGAGUUUUGCUCUUGUGUUGGCCUAGACCAGAGUGCAAUAGAGCAAUCUCGGCUCACUGCAACCUCCGCCUCCAGGGUUCAAGCAAUUCUCCUGCCUAAGCCUCCCACGUAGCUGCCACCCGUCUGCCACCACACCUGACUAAUUUUUGUAUUUUUAGUAGAGACGGGGUUUCAACAUGUUGGCCAGGCUGGUCUCGAACUCCUGACUUCAGGUGAUCCGUCCGUCUCAGCCUCCCAAAGCGCUGGGAUUACAGGUGUGGGCCUCUGCACCCGGCCAAGGUGAGCUCUUUAAAAUGUAUCACUCAAAACAAAGAUAAAACCCCAAAUCACCACUUAAAUGGCAAUCAUCCUGAACUCUUCCAGAAAAACUGCGAUGAAAAACUGAAUAGAACAGAAAAAUAAACUUUUAGAAGUAGAGUCUACUUAGGUAGGAGUUGUACAUGUUGGAAUAACCGGCAGACAGUAAAGGGCCUAGAAGUUCAAAUAACAAGAAUCUCCUUUAAUUCUUUUUCAGAUAGUACCUAACAAGGAAAAAAAAAAAACCAGUGCAAUUUGAAAGCCAAGAAAUCCAGUGACUGAGACAUGUUUGAGCUGUUCUGCUUUUUUUUUUCUUUACUGUCCAAAAAAAGAGAAAGGUUAUGAACAUUCAGAAAGAAAUCUCUGCAGUGGGAUUUAUUCAACAAAGCGAACUUGGGAGAGAAUUGGCUCUUAAUUCUGAUAAUCAACAACUCACUCAACUCCCUAUCUAUUUGUCCCACACCUCACUAUGGAAGCCAAGGAACCUAGCUUCUUUAUAGAAAAGUGCACUCUAACGCUUACUCCUCCAAUGAGGCCCUUCAAGUCCAGAAAACAGACUCUUACCUUUCUGACUAACCAAGUGCAACAGAAGGCCAUUUCCUUAAAUGGUCACCAAAAUUAUCAAGUGCAUUCUGCUUGAAGGGUAACAGAAUGGGCUAGGUCUCAAAAGAAGAGUGAAUUGAAGGUCCUUAUGGUGCCACCAAACAGAUGGCAAAAGGAAGAGUAGGUGAUGUUUUUCCAGCUGCAGCCUAGCUUUGGGAGGGCUAGAUUACACUUAAGUAAAAAGUUCUUACUUUUGUCAAUAAUAUUACAGAAAUGUCUGUGUAAACUACUGUUUGGAAUUCCCAUAUCAUCUACUAUGGUGAGUAACUCAUCCCAAGUGCUUACAGUGAAGUCUGCUUCUGACUUAUUACUUAACGAGAAAGCAUAAACAAGAAUUGAACAGCACAUAUACCCAAGAGGAACAUCUAGGGAUGGUACUAUUUAACUUAUACACAGUCCUGUGGAUCAGAUUAAAACAUGGAUGGAUGAAGAAUAAAGACUCAGGGCUGGUGCAGUGGCUCACACCUGUAAUCCCAAAACUUUGGGAGGCUGGGUGAGUGGAUCACCUGACAUCAGGAGUUUGAGACCAGUCUGAACAACAUGAAGAAAACCCCCCACCAAAACAUCUCUACCAAAAACACAAAAACAGCCAGGCAUGGUAGCGCAUGCCUGUAUUCCCAGCUGCUCAGGAGGUUGAGGCAGGAGAAUCGCUUGAACUCAAGAGGCUGAGGUUGUGGUGAGCUGAAAUUGCGCCAUUGCACUCCAGCCUGGGCAGCAAGAGUAAAACUCUGUCUCAAAAAAAAAAAGAAUAAAGACUCAAACAAAUCAACUCAAUAGCUCACUCAUGGAGAGGAGGGAAAGCAGAGCUAUACCUAAGCACAAAUAAAUAUGGAAUGUGUGCUACAAACUAAAAUGCAGUAAUUAACAUCUUAAGGUAAUCCUGGAGGAAAUUAGAAGAACACAGUGAAGACUGUAUAUGGGUGAAGUUGAGUAAUAAAAGUGUUAUUACCCAAUCCAAGGAGCUCAUCCUCCAGGUCUCAGCUCAAAUGUCACUCCUUUAAGGACUUCCAGGAUCAUUCUAUCUGGCCCCAUUACCUUUUUAAUUUUAUUCAAUUACCACUGUCUGAAACUACUUACUUUUUGUUUUCUUAUUCUAGAAUUUAAGUUCAAGAGAACAGAGACCUUAUCUGUACUGUUCACCUAGCAUAAUGCCUGAUACAUUCAGAUACUUAAUAUAUAUUUGUUGAAAAUAAGAUAAGCUUCUAUCACAGAAGGACUAAUAGUCCAGUAGCAAAAGAGAUUACAAUAACAAGCAAAGAGCUAGGGGAACAAAGCUCUACAGCUGUCAAAUUUGGGGAGGCUGCACUGGGGAAACAACACUGGAUUUGAGUCUUGAAGAAAUGCUAUACCUAACUCCUUAAGGCUCAUAAAUUGUUGGCUGGGCACAGUGGUUCAAGCCAGUAAUCCUAGCACUUUGGGGGGCUGAGGCAGGCGGAUCACUUGAGGUCAGUAAUUCGAGACCAGCCUGGCCAACAUGGCAAAACCCCAUCUCUACUAAAAAUACAAAAAUUAGCUUGGUAUGAUGAUGCACACCUGUAAUCCCAGCUACUCAGGAGACUGAGGCCCGAGAAUCACUUGAAUCCAGGAGGUAGAAGUUGCAGUGAGCCAAGAUUGUGCCACUGCACUCUAGCCUGGGCAACAGAGCAAGACUCUGUCUCAAAAACAGAAAAAAUUGUCAUGGUGCUUUACAUCUUCAUGCCUUUAAUAAUAACAAUAAGAAAAAAAGAGACUACAUUUAUUGAAUGUUUUCUAUAUUCCAAAUACUAUGUUGUUUUGGCAUGUAUUAUCUCAUUUAAUCCUUAUAAUAAUGCUAUAUAGUAGAUGCUUUUAUUGUCACCAUUUCACAACCGAGGAGACAAGUAUGGACAGGAUAAGUGACUGACCCAAGAUCAGAGCUCGUAAGACACAGAGCUAACACCUGAAUCCAGGUACCUUUGCAUGCUUUAUCUGAAAUGCCCUUAUCUUCACAGGCUUGUUGAAUGUACUCUUAUUAACCCCGAACUGCCUUGUAGGUCAAGAAUCCCUGCUUCUAUAAAACUUUGUGAAGAAGUGGGCAAAAAUGACCACAGGAUAAAUUUGGGACAAAUGUUUAGAGUAAUUGAGUUGUACAAUAAUAUGAAUAACUAAAUGUACAUCUGAGUUAAAGUGUAUAGAUUGAUUUUUCAUAAGUAAGAACUAUGAUCUGGACUUAAUCAAGUAACAGAUAAUGAUCAAUAUUGAUGGAGGCAUUUUUUAUUAGCGUAGAACUACAGCUCACUGGUUCUACUAUUCUUCCCUUUUCCUAAAACAAAGCAGAGAAAAGACCUUGAAAUGAGAGAGGGUUUUACAGAGAGGUCACCUCUGCCCCACAGGACCACCAGAGCAUCUUACAUAGCCCUACCUCAUUAGUAAGGAAGCUUUAUUGCUAGUAUGAAAAUAAAUCAUGGCUGUUCAGUACAGAAUUAGGUUGGCAUUCGAUUUCUUUUUGAAACAGAAUCUCACGCUAUUGUCCAGGCUGGAGUACAGUGGUGCGAUCUCAGCUCACUGCAACCUCCACCUCCCAGGUUCAAACGAUUCUCCCUCCUCACUCAGCUACUUGUGCCACUACCCCUGGCUAUUUUUUUUUUUGGUAGAGAAGAGGUUUCACCAUGUUGGCCAGGCUAGUCUCAAACUCACUUACCUCAGGUGGUGCUCUUGCCUCAGCCUCCCAAAGUGUUAGGAUUACAGAUAUGAGCCACUGCGCCCAGCCUGGCAUAUGCUCUUAGAUUUGUAUAUACAAACCUCAUAUUUUAUCCCUUGGUUCAGAUUUAGGUCUCUACAUAAAGAUUAUUCUUAGCAUAAAAGUUUUUCUGGGUUUAUGACAAUAUUUCUAAUUUUUAAAGCCUAUACAUAGUAAACCUAGAAGGAAUCAAAACAUUUUCAAGAUGAAAGGAGCCUUUGAAUUUGUCCAGUCAAUCAUGUCUUUUUAUAGUGAAGAAGUUGAGACCCAGGAAUUUUAAAUCACUUGCCCAAACAUGACAUAAUUAGAAAAGAUAAAAGUUAUGAGGAAAGAAACUCAGCCCCCAACUCUUCCUAGCUAUAAAGAGAAAACUAUCUGACAACAGAGUAUUUUCUGGUGGAAAGAGACAAAAAAUAGCAAAACAGCUUAGGUUAGUGUGUUUUCACUUUUUAGGGCCAUGGGACCCUACCCCUCCUUUUUUUUUUUUUUUUUGAGACAGAGUCUUGCUCUGUUGCCCAGGUUGAAGUGUAGUGGUGCAGUUUUGGUUCACUGCAACCUCUGCCUCCCAGGUUCAAGCAACUCUCUUGCCUCAGCCUUCCCAGUAGCUGGGAUUACAGGCGAGUGCCAGCAUGCCCAGCUAAUUUUUGCAUUUUUAGUAAAGAUGGGGUUUCACCAUGUUGGCCAUGCUGGUCUUGAACUCCUGACCUCGUGAUCCACCAAUCUCAGCCUCCCAAAGUGCUGGGAUUACAGGUGUGAGCCACCACGCCCAGCUAGGACCUUCCCUUCCUUAGAAAAUCUUAUUAAAGUCACAGACUCUCUUCUCUCUAGAAUCUAGGAAGUCUAGAAUAAGCAUAUACUCAAACAAAAUUUGGUAUACAAUUUCAAAGAUUCAUCGAUCCAUUCAGGUUAACAAUCCUUGGCCUAGGCGAAGAAAAUAAAUCCUGGGAACCCUCCAAACAGCUAUGGAACUGGAGGGGAAGGGACAGAAACAAAGGCUUUUUUUUUUUGAGACAGAGUUUUGCUCUUGUUGCCCAGGCUGGAGUGCAAUGGCAUGAUCUCAGCUCACCACAACCUCUGCCUACUGGGUUCAAGUGAUUCUCCUGCCUCAGCCUCCUGAGUAGCUGGGAUCACAGGCAUGCGCCACCACGUCUGGCUAAUUUUUGUAUUCUCAGUAGAGUUCGUGUUUCUCCAUGUUGGUCAGGCUGGUCUCUAACUCCUGACCUCAGGUGAUCCACUCGCCUCAGCCUCCCAAAGGGCUGGGAUUACAGGCAUGAGCCACUGUACCCAGCCAAGUUAAGUAUUAUAUACUUAACUAGAUGCCAGGCGAUGCAUUAAAUCAUAUACAUGACUCACUUACUUAAUCCUCGUGACAAUUCUAUAAGACAGGUUUUUUUAAUUUGAAUUUUAUUUCUUUAUUUGUUUUUAACUACGGCACAAAGUUCAAGAGAUAUAAAGAGUAUACUGUGAAAAGUCCCUACCCUUUUCCUUCAGCACCUGAAUAUCCUCUCUAGAGAGAAAUCUUACUUGUGCAUUAUUCUAGAGAUAUUCUUUUCAUAAAAGCAUGUAUGUAUGUGAGGGGGGUAGUAUUUUGUUUCUUUUUGUUUGUUUGCUUUUUGAGACGGAGUUUCGCUCUUGUUACCCAGGCUGGAGUGCAAUGGCGCGAUCUCGGCUCACCGCAACCUCCGCCUCCUGGGUUCAGGCAAUUCUCCUGCCUCAGCCUCCUGAGUAGCUGGGAUUACAGGCACGCGCCACCGUGCCCAGCUAAUUUUUCGUAUUUUUAGUAGAGACGGGGUUUCACCAUGUUAACCAGGAUGGUCUCGAUCUGUUGACCUCGUGAUCCACCCGCCUCGGCCUCCCAAAGUGCUGGGAUUACAGGCUUGAGCCACCGCGCCCGGCCGAGUAUUUUGUUUCUUUUUCUACACAAAUGGCAGCAUAUCAUACAUACAGUUCUGCAUCCAGUUGUCCCCUCUCAGCAUUAUCUUGAAGACUUUACUAUCAGUAUACAGAGUUGCCUUACUCUUUUUAACUUCUGCACAUUGUUCUAUUUUAUAGAUAUAUCAACAUUUAGUUAACCAGUUCCCUGCCGAUGGACAUUUAGAUUGCUAUCUUUUGCUAUUUAUCGACAUGAUAUAAUGCUGUAGUGAAUAUCCUUCUACAUGUGUGAAAACAUCUGUAGGAUAAAUUUCCAGACGUAUCAUUCAUCCAGACGUAUGCUUUUUUGUAUACAUGGGUAUAAUGAAGAUCCCUCUCUCGUCUUUUCAGAAAAUGUUUUUGAAAACACAGGGGAGGGAGGUCCUGGUACCCAAAGUAGAUUGAUACUGUAUUUUGCAUCUAUUUAAAAAGCUUUCAAGUAUGAAAUGCUGCUUGAGUGUAAAAGUAGGCAAGGUAAUUGAUGCAACUGAAAGGAGAUUCAAAUAUUCCUUAGAAUAGUGAAAUAAAUGCCUUUUAAUUGUGGGGGUUGAGUGUUUCCCUCAUCAUUUCUACCCCUGGCAAUAUAAAAAUCCAGACAUUUAUAUCUAUACAUUCAUUAGACUAUAAUUCUAUCUUUCCAAGGACUUUAAUUAUUCACCAUCAUUGUAAAACAAAACCAAAAAACUUAACAGAGGAGGUGAAAAUGAGGAAGGGAAGCAAAACUUUCCCAUUAAGCAGCAAUAAGUUAAGCUAUAAGUGAAUGCAUAAAUGCCUAUACACCUAGAGGUAAUUUUGAAUUUAGACCAGUAGUUCUUAGUUAUUUGACCUGUCUCCAUGCAGUUUCUUAACACAGCUGUUCUGUUUUUAAAAAGACUUUUUAAGAGCAUUUAGGUUCACAGCAAAAUUGAGCAGAAAGUCAGAGAGUUCCCAUAUACCCUCUGCCCGCUCCCAGGCAUAGCUUCCCCAACUAUCAACAACCUGCAUCAGAGUGGUACAUUUGUUACAACGAGUCAGUAAGCCUACACGGAUGUAUCUUUAUCACCCAAAGUCCAUAGUUUACAUUUGGGUUCCCUCUUGGUGUUACACAUUCUAUGAGUUUAGACAAAUGUAUAAUGAUGUGUAUCCAUCAUUGUAGCAUCAUACAGAAUGAUUUCAUGGCCCUAAAAAUCUUCUGUGCUUUGCCUAAUUAUCCCUCUCUUCUCCCAGUCCCUGGCAACCACUGAUCAUUUCACUGUCUCCGUAUUUUUCCUCUUCCAGAAGGUCAUAUAUUCCAGAAGGAAUCAUACAGUAUAUAGCCUUUUCAGAUUGGCUUCUUUCACUUAGCAACAUGCAUUUCAGCUUCUAUCAUAUGUUCUCACGGUUUGAUCACUCAUUUCUUUUUAGCACUGAAUAAUAUUCCAAUGUCUGGAUGUACCACAGUUUAUUUACCCACUCACCUACUGAGGAACAUCUUCAAAACUGCUUCCAAAAUUUGGCAAUUACAAAUAAAGCUGCUAUAAAUGCCUGUGUGCAGGUUUUUGUGUAGAUACAAGUUUUCAAUUCCUUUAGGUAAAUACUAAGGAGUGCAAUUGCUGGAUUGCAUGGUAAAAAUGUUUAGUUUUGUAAGAAACUACCAAACUGUCUUCUAAAGUAGCUGUACAAUAUUGCAUUCCUACCAGCAAUGAAUCAGAGUUCCUUUUGCUCCACAUCCUCAUUAGCAUUUGGCAUUACCAGUGUUCUGAAUUUUGGCCAUUUUAAUAGAUCUGUAGCAGUAUCACAAAUUGUUUUAAUUUGCAUUUCCCUAAUGACAUAAGAUGUUGAGCAUCUUUUUAGAUGCUUAUUUGACAUCUAUGUAUCUUCUUUGGUGAGUUGUCUGUUCGUGUCUUUUUUCCACUUUUUAGUUAGGUUGUUUGUGUUCUUAUUAAGUUUCAAGAGUUCUUUUCAUAGUUUGGAUAAUAGUCCUUUAUCAUAGAGGUCUUGUGCAAAUAUUUUCUCUCUGUCUGCAGUUUGUCUUCUCAUUCUUUUGAUACAAUUGUUUUUAACAUUUGAGAAAAUUGAGGCUCUAAGAAGUUUCACUACUCAAGGCACAUACUAGGAAAAAGCAAAGACAGGACUUUAACUCUGUUCUUACCAUCAUUCCAUGUUGUAUUUCCUAGGGUUUAUUUGAAAAAGGAGACACAAUACAGACAGAAAAGAAACAAAACCAAAUGCCAACCACCACUGCAACCACUCUGGUUAUGGAAAAAGGAAACUGCACACCCUCACAUUCUCUUACCCCACAAAUCCUCUCCGACAUCUUUUCUCUUACCAUGUUUCAGUUAUCAUCUAUAUGCUGAUAACUGACAAAUCUCUAUAUUUACAGCCCUGAUCUCUCAGAUCUAUAUACCUAAUUGCCUAUUGGAUAUCUCCACUUAUACAUCCCACAGGUUCCUCAAACAGCCUGUCCAAAACUGUACUCAUCAUCUUACCCCCCAAACCUGCCCUUCUUCCUCUAGGAUUAUCUGUUUCAGAAACCUGGAAGUCACCCUGAGAUCACUUCCUCCUAUCCUACCACUUCAUGUGCAGAAACAGCCCCAAUAUAUAAUUCUGUGUUCUCCAUCCAAUGAUCCCAUCAUUUUCCUCCUAUUCAGGAACAUUUUCCUAGUUUUCUUUUCCUCAUUUUUCUAGCCUAGAUUUCCUGUCCAUCUUGAUAAUGACUCCUAGAAACACCUUCACUCAAUGAUCAAUGGUCUAGACAAAAGCAAGCAAACACCACCACCCUCACUCCCUUCAUUAUUUUUCCCAGGCAAAACCUCAAUCCUGAUGGCACAUACCAAUCUAUUAAUUCCAUGUUUGGGCCCAAGAAGUUACAUGUUGCAAGAGAAAAACCAUGUGACUAAGCUGACAGGUUUCAUGUUAAAAAUCACCUUCCCAAACAUCUAAAGAGCAUCAAUAGUUCUUCAGUUAUCUUACGAAGUUUCUUUAGUAGGCACAUACUCCCCUAUCCCCUCCCAGGAAGAAUAUUGCAUGUUUGUCUCCUCAACUUUCACCUUCUUCCACCUUCACUUUCAGGUGGCAGCCUUAUAUAGAAAAAAGAAAUAAAAAAGAAAACAGAAAAAUGUCUAAUGUAAACUCUCUCCUUUUCCAACUACUAGGUAUAGCUCAUUUGCACAGCUUCCUUCUUACCCUCUCUCACUGAAGGAAGGAUUGCUUCUUUUUUGUGUGUGUUUGAAACAGUCUUGCUCUGUGGCCCAGGCCGGAGUGCCUGAUCUCAGCUCACUUUGACCUCUGCCUCUUGGGUUCAAGUGAUUCUCCUGCCUCAACCUCCCAAGUAGCUGGGAUCACAGACGCCCAUCACCAUGCCUGGAUAAUUUUUGUAUUUUUAGUAGAGAUGGGGUUUCACCAUCUUGGCCAGGCUGGUCUCAAACUCCUGACCUCAGGUGAUCCACCCGCCUCGUCCUCCCAAAGUGCUGGGAUUACAGGCAUAAGCCACUGCGUCCAGUUGAAGGAAGGAUUUCUAUUUGUGCUCUAGUCUGUUCCCUGCCAAGUUCUUAAGGACUCUCUUUUUUUUUCCUCCCCACUUCCCAUCCCUCUUUUUUUUUUUGAGAUGGAGUCUCACUCUGUUACCCAAGCUGGAGUGCAGUGGCACGAUCUCAGCUCACUGCAACCUCCUCCUCCUGGCUUCAAGCAAUUCUCCUGCCUCAGCCUCCUGAGUAGCUGGCGCAUGCCACCACACCUGGUGGCUAAUUUUUUGUAUUUUUAGUGAGAGAGGGGUUUUCACCAUGUUAGCCAGCAUGGUCUUGAUCUCCUGACCUCAUGAUCUGCCUAUCUUGGCCUCUCAAAGUGCUGGGAUUACAGGCAUGAGCCACCACGCCCAGGCCCCGCCCCUCUUAAGGACUCUUUCCACAUUACCUGGUCCCUUACUUAGCUCUCCAAUCCCCACCCCCACCACUCACUCCUUUGCUCACUUUACUCCAUCGACAGUAUUUCCAACUUAGACUUCACACAUACUGCCACCUGCUUUGUUUCCUUUGUAACACUUAGAAUUUUUGGUUACUUCAGUUUACCUUGCUUCUCUUUUGUUUCUGACUCGUCUCACCACCACCACAGCCCAAGGCAACCACUGAUCUGUUCUGUUACUACAGAUAGAUUUGCCUUUUAUGGAAUGUCAUGCAAAUCAUGUGGAAUCAUAAAAUAAAUACUCUUUUAUAUCAUCUAGCUUCUUCCACUUAAUGUUUUUGAGAUUCAUCCAUAUUGUUCCAUGUGUAGUUCUUUUUUACUGCUAGCACUUUACAUGGGUGUACCAUACUUUAUUAUCCAUUCACUUUUUUUUUUUGAGACAGUUUCACUCUGUCACCCAGGCUGGAGUGCAAUGGCAUGAUCUCAGCUCACUGCAACUUCCAUGUCCUGGGUUUGAGUGAUUCUCCUGCCUCUGCCUCCCAAGUAGCUGGGACUACAGGCGCAUGCCACCAUGCUUGGCUAAUUUUUUGUAUCUUUAGUAGAGAUGGAGUUUUACCAUUUUGGCCAGGCUGUUCUUGAACUCCUGACCUCAUGAUCCACCUAUCUCAGCCUCCCAAAAUGCUGCAAUUACAGGCGUGAGCCAUUGCACCCGGCCUUCCAUUCACUUAUUGGUAGACAUUUGGUGUUGUUUCUACUUUGGGGUCAUUAUGAAUCAACUGCCUUGGACACUGGUGUACAGGUCUUCAUGUGAACAACGGGCUUCAUUUUCUUGGGUAAAUUCAUAAGGAAGGGUGGAACAGCUGGGUCACCUGUUAAGUAUAUAUUAAACUUAUAAUAAACUGUUUUCCACCAGCAAUGCAUGCUCAUUACAAUUGUCCCACAUCCUCAUCAGUAGUAGCUACUGUUACUCUUAAUUUUAGCCAUUCUAGCAGGCGUGCAGUAUCUUACUGUGGUUUUAAUUUGCACUUCUCUCAUGAUAUUGAGUAUCUUAUGUGCUUACUGGUAUUCAUGUAGUAUCUCUGGGGUUAUGUGUGUUCAAAUCAUUUGCCCGUUUAAGAAACUGGAUUGUUCAUCUUAUUACUGAGUUGUAAGAUUUAUUUAUAUGAAUUCUAAAUACCAGUCAUUUUUCUGGUAUAUGUAUUGUGAAUAUUUUCUCCUAGUCUGUGGCUUGCCUUUUUAUUUACUUACCUGUGUCUUUCUUUUCUUUUUUGAGACGGAAUCUUGCUCUGUCACCCAGGCUGGAGUGCAGUGGCACAAUCUCGGCUCAUUGCGACCUCUGUCUCCCAGGUUCAAGCGAUUCUUCUGCCUCAGCCUCCCGAGUAGCUGGGACUACAGGCACGCACCACCACGCCCAGCUAAUUUUUGUAUUUUUAGUAGAGACAGGGUUUCACCAUAUUGGCCAGGCUGGUCUCAAACCCUUGACCUCAUGAUCUGCCCGCCUCAACUUCCCAAAGUGCUGGGAUACAAGCGUGAGCCACCAUGCCCAGCCCUAAACAUUUCAUUUUAGAGUAUUUUUUGUGUGCAAAGAAAGUUUUGUCUACCACAAGGUCAUGAAGAUUUUCUCCUGUUUUCUUCUAGUCUAUGAUCCAUUUUGAGUUAAUUUCUAUACUUGGAAUGAGAUCAGAAACAAAGUUCACUUUCCCCCCAAAAAGAUAUCUAAUUGUUCCAGCACCACUUGCUGAAAAAAAAAAUUUCCCCACAGAAUUAUCUUGGCUUCUUUUUCAAAAUCCAGUUCAUUAUAUUUGUAGAGGUCUAUUUCUGGACUCUAUUUCCCAUUGCUCUAAGCUCCCCCUCUCCUUUUCUUAAGUAUUAAGCACAAAAUAGUCUUCAAAAUUAUAACUGAUAACAGGGAAAGUAAGUUAAUUGUCCAUAUAUCCCUAACAAAGUGACAUCAGCAUGAAGAUUUUAUUCCUAUUAAAAUGCAGGACAAAUAAGAAACAUAUGAAAAUUAAUGGUAAGUUCAUCAUAAACAGACCACUAAAAACAAACAAUAUCCUGGUGCCCUCUAGUGGGAGGAAACUGUAAGGAUAUGCCAAACAAAGGAGCUAAUAAACACUACUCACAGAAAUACUGAAUACCAACAAAUUUGACCAAUAUUUCCAUGCAUUCUACUCACAUUUUUUAAUAUCAAAAAAGUUUUUUAAGACAGAAAAAUUUUAAACAAAAACGGAAAAUGUUUUGCUGUUUUAAGCAACUUUAAUCCAAUGUGAAUGCAAUGAAAUAGAAAAUUGGAGUGACAAACAAAACAGGUAUUUGGAAUUUAUAUCUCCAUAGUGUACUUCCCUAUACAAAGGAAAUGGGGCCAGAAGCCAAAGGAAAAGAGGUAAGAUUUUACAUAAUUAAAAGUAGAUGAAAUUGUUUCAAGAUACAUAGUAUGAAUGCAUUAUCAAGACAUAUGUUAAUAUAUACUUGCAUGUAACACAUAAUAUGUAAUUUUAUAUACAUAUACACCAAAUUUUUCUAGAAUGAAGCACAAGAUGAUGUCAACAAUGAUUGCCUGUGAAAAGCAGGGGUGAGUAGGGAGAAAGGGAGGAUUUACAUAUCCCUUAUUUUAAACAUGUGAAAUAAAUGCUCUUAUUUUAAAAUGUAGGUCUACCAUUUUGAAACAAUCUAAUGGUAAUUUUGUAUGCUUACACAUGAACUCCCAAAAUAGGUGGCAAGUGAAUAAUGCUUUGUUCAGAACAGUGUGUUCCCACGGUUGAUUAUAAUUAACUAACCCUUGUUAAGUCCCUCAAGGUACAAAGCUAUGUAGCCGCAUUCUGUAACACACAGAAGGGAGACAGAUAACUACAAGACCCCUCAUCUUUUAAUUGGAAGUUCUUAGUGUAUUCACCUACCUUUUUCUUCUUUGUUCCUAUAUUAAAAGAAGGGGUCUCUCUCCUCAUUAUCAUCUCCUUCAAACUACCUCCCUACCCCAAAUAUUUUUAAAACCUAUUAUUCUGGUCACUCACGUUCAAAACUGAGUCAUAAUUCUUACUCUCCUUCCAAAAAUGUUCUUUGUUUCUUCUAAAUAUUAUCUUUGCGUUAAUGGGGAGGAGUCUAAGAAGACUUGGGUGAGUGAUGAUACCAACAAGUAACAGGAAUACUCCAACACUGACGUCCCUCCCCAACUCUCCUGUAUUUUGCAUAUAAUUUCCUCAGUCUAAAAUGCCUGCUCUGUCUCCUUUUUAUUUACGCUUUCUACUUACUUUCUGUUCUCCUUCUCUUUUUUUAAUGCCAAAGUACAUGCUGCUUCCCACAAAAAGCUUUACCUUUAUAUCCCUUGGAGAUAAAAUAUUCUUCUGAGUGGUUUAAUGGUUGUAAUUACUGCCUGUACCACUUAGCAGACUUGUAGUCCAUGCUCCUUUACACUGAUAUUCUUCUCUUUAAGCACUUGCUCAUUUUUCCCAAGUGCUGGUAAAUUCUCAAGACUGUGGACAGAUCAUACAGUUUGUUUUAUUUCUACUAUCUUUCCCAAAUAGGUUUCACAUGAAUAGGUUUCUACAAACCUAAUCCCAAAUAGGUUUCACAUGAGUGUGUUAUUCCCACCCAAGAAAUUCACAGGAAUUCCUCAAGAAAGUUUUGGGAACAAUAGUCGCUUUUACUGCUAUCAAAGACUUAUACAUACACAGUCCUCCAUCUGGUAAAUGGUACCAAAGAAUUACAUGCUGUGCUUUUAGUUAAUUCUAAUGAAGGGGUUCAGUGUAUGCUACCCUAGAAUAUGCUACCCUGGCAUAAGAAUUAUUUUGCGCUGUAGGCAGUUGAGAAAAAGCAGAUGCAGGACAAGUUCUCUGCCUCCCUGCCCCCAUCUACCUUUCAUUUACCUUUGCGAAAGUGUCCCCCAAGCACUUCCCUUACCAGGAAGGAAAUUUUUAUUUUUAUUUAUUUAUUUAUUUAUUGUAGGAAGGGAGGAAGGGAGGAAGGGAGGA
This is a non-coding RNA of Callithrix jacchus (white-tufted-ear marmoset), 14097 nucleotides long. Lineage: Eukaryota; Metazoa; Chordata; Mammalia; Primates; Cebidae. The record is from RefSeq and is a predicted model, not a curated record.